CAAUCGAACACCAAGCCUCCUCGUUCCGCCGCUCGCUCUCUCUCGCUUUUUCCACCGCCGCCGCUCUCCACUAUUCUCCACCGCCUGUUGCUCUCAAGCUCCAAGGAGGUAUAUACAGUUCGCGAUUCAAUCACAGUAAUAAAUUUCGGUGAUUGUUGAGUCUAGUCUUCUGAAACAGAAGGAUACAACAAGGUUGAUGUUGAUGCUGCUAAUAAGUAUGGUGUUGCUGUCGGAAAGUCACCGAGACUACAGCAGAGUUAGCAGCUUCACUCUCUUUAGCUGCAGCCAGAAGAAUUGUAGAAGUUGAUGAAUUCAUGAAGGGUGGCUUGUAUGAUGGAUGGCUUCCUCGUCCUUCGUCUACAAACUUUGGAGCAGGUCACAUUGGAUCUGCCUAUGCAAGAAUGAUGGUUGAAGGGUUCAAGAUGAACUUGAUCUACUUUGAUCUCUACCAGUCCACUCGUCUGGAGAAGUUGUUACUGCCUAUGGGUAC
Non-coding RNA from Salvia hispanica, 490 nucleotides. The record is from RefSeq and is a predicted model, not a curated record. NCBI's taxonomy places the organism in Eukaryota, Viridiplantae, Streptophyta, Magnoliopsida, Lamiales, Lamiaceae.